UCUAAUUAUUUCAGGCUGUUAAAUCCGGUCUUCUCAAAAUUCUUUCCAAAAUGGGAAUCUCAUUGCUUUCUAGUUAUUGUGGUGCACAGAUAUUUGAGAUUUAUGGAUUAGGGAAGGAGAUUGUUGAUCUUUCAUUUUGUGGAAGUGUCU
Quercus lobata is the source of this 150-nucleotide long non-coding RNA. RefSeq lists it as uncharacterized. The record is from RefSeq and is a predicted model, not a curated record. NCBI's taxonomy places the organism in Eukaryota, Viridiplantae, Streptophyta, Magnoliopsida, Fagales, Fagaceae. The transcript is spliced from 2 exons.